Molecule: long non-coding RNA, 1299 nt
Filed under: Canis lupus familiaris (dog)
Lineage: Eukaryota; Metazoa; Chordata; Mammalia; Carnivora; Canidae
Description: lncRNA (ENSCAFG00030021161.1)
Source: RNAcentral
GGUUUGAUGCUCGCGGGGGAUCUCGGCUAUUUGGAGGAUCCGCAGUAUGCUGGGCCGUGACCCCAGUGCCAAGGACAGUGCAUGCAGGACCCAGCAGGCCUACCACCCCAGGCCAGUCUAUUCUAAUGUUCGACACAUCGGAGCUGAACCUCUGGAAAUGGAUGCUCUGGUCUCGAGGGCACCACCUCCAUGUGGACGGGUUUGGACACUCCGCCCAAGGGAGCCCUACCUGCUGCCAGGUGGCACAGCCCACACCUUGGUCAGGAGGAAGGGGCCCACAGGCUUAGGGAGGCAAGGGCAAGGGGCAGCCUCCGAGCCCCGGUGGGUUCUCCCCACGUUCACUAGCAGUUCCCUGGGCAGUCGGGAGACGCACCCAGGCAAGAACUGGGGUGAGGGGUAUGUCAGACCGAACCAAGUUGGCCUGGGCACCGGGCCCCUGUGUGUUCAUCAACCAGGAGAGCCCUGUGUGCUGGCCAGGGUGCCUGGCGGGUGGCCCAGGUGCCAGCCAUGGCCAGUGCUGCUCUGCUGCUGACGUACAUAUGAGCCAGCCGAGGGCUGACCACCCCUGGGGAUCUGGGUGAGGGGAUUCCCAAGGGCAAAUCUAAUCUCACCGUUUCACGUCCAGCAAACCACCUGUCACUGUCUGCGGAACCUUUGCCGGACGCCCAGCAUGUACCGCAGGCUUCAUGCCAGGCCUGCCAGGGGGCUCCCCCAGGUGCUCUGACAUGAGCAUCUUCCUGUGUGUGCCUCAAAGCUGGGUGCGUCUGAGAUGGGUGCCCAGCAUGGUGGCUCCCCGGGCGGCAUAUGUGAGCCUGUUGCAAGGUGCGCAGGAAGCCACAGGGGCACCAGGGAAGUUUGGUGCUUGAGGGAGAAAUCUGGAGGUUUACGAGUGCCCGGGGGAGGCGUGAGAGCAUUGUUAAGCCCUGUGAGGAAGGGUAGCGAUGUUGCCUCUCCUGAGUGUGCAUCUUGAACCCAGGGCCCUGGAGGUGGCCUGGCCAUCUGCUUCCACUCCCAGCUACCCCAGACCCCACCCUGUGAGCCCUAGUUCUGCCCUCCACUGUGCCCCUACCACACUCUAGCUCAGACCCCAGACCAGCUUCCCAGCAGACUCCCUUCAUCAUCUCCCCUCUGAGGCCACCCAGCCCAGAGAACCUCCCCCACGGGGAUUGGGGAGCAGCACGCCCCCCACCCAGAGCACUCAUUUCCAAGCCUUCCCUGCCCCCGAGCCUGGUCUAUCUAGUGCACCCUCACCUCCUCUGCCCCUCCUCAGGGUCCUCGGGGUCCUCGCAUACAGGCCAC